Long non-coding RNA from Marmota monax (woodchuck), 1351 nucleotides. RefSeq lists it as uncharacterized. The transcript has 2 exons. The record is from RefSeq and is a predicted model, not a curated record. NCBI's taxonomy places the organism in Eukaryota, Metazoa, Chordata, Mammalia, Rodentia, Sciuridae.
CAGGAAUUCCAGACAUGCUACGUUGGCAGAUUCCAGAAGGCCACAUUCUUAGCAACUCGAGCCUGAGUUCCUUGUCUGGAUUUCUCUGGACCCUGCUGACCACCACUUAGAAGACCCGUCACCCCUGCUUCUUCCAGGUUUGAAGGUGGAGUUUCUUCAAGGACACAGAAUUCUCUGGCCAAGUGACUCGCUAGCCUGGCGGGAGCUUGGGGCAGGAUCCUGCCUAUUGCUGUUUGCUGGAAGGGAUGGGAUUCACGUGCCAGCCCAGAAUGGUGUCUCCAUGUUCACUCCCUUUGGUGAGUGUGGAGACAUGAAAUUAGCUGGUUUUUGGAAAACAAGCUCAAUGGCUACCUGGGCCAGGUAUGGAACUGGAUGAGAGGCGCGUGCUGGCAACUGUCAGUGUGGAGCCGUUGCAGGUGUGGUGGGGUUGCCGCAGCUGGAUUGCCAAGCCUGGUCACGGUGAGUGAGCAGCAGUCAUGACUCAGCAGCUGCUGACUGGAGGGGAUACAGACUCUGGGAUGCUAGGACUUGGAACAGUACUCCAGUUUCAGAAGGGACAGCACUAAGUCACUCUUUGAGAAAACAUGUCUCUGACCAGUGGGCCUGGCGUGGCUUGAGGAGUACCAGACUGUGCCUCUGAUCUCACCUGAAACUUUGCCAGUGGCAUGUCUCAAAGUGAGCUACAUUUUACAACUCAAGCAGGCUUAGUCUUGUUGGGAAAAGUAUAAACGGCAGCCGCACCCCAGAGAAAAACCCCAACAUGGCGCCUAAGGACCUCUUCUUCCUACCUUCCUCUUUUCUGCAGUGGCGCGAAAAGUUCCCGUCCGUGGGAACUCUCCCAUCAGCGCCGAUUUCAAAUCUCGAUGGCGGGGAACCUUAGCCCCAAUAAGAACUAAUUCCUGGGCUCCGGAGCUGAUAUCUGGAAGAACUUGCCAAUAAACGGGUGGCCUGCCAUUUAUCUAAGCCCUGCCAUCUCCCCUUAGUUCUAUAUAAGCACACAGCCUUUUGCAAUAAAAUUGGAAUUCUCCCGGCGAAGUGUCUUUGCGUGGGGAAUUCUUUCAAGUCUCACUAUAUGGAAGAGUUUUUUUCUAAACACUUAGGAAAAUAAUUCGGACCACAUAGUUGUUUUCAACAACUAUGCCCCGAACUAUUCUUCCCAUGAAUGGUUUUAUAGUUUCUUCAAAGUCACCGUCAAGAUUUACCCUUUUCAUGUAGCUAUUCAUCUAUUUACUGCACCCUGGCUCUGAUAUGCUCAAUUUAUGUUAAUCUGUUGUUGUAUUGUUUCACGUAUUCCCCAUGUUUAUGUACCAGUAAAGAUGACAAGACUCAAAAAUGCAUGCCUAAAACAUAA